This 72-nucleotide transfer RNA is filed under the name Bryopsis hypnoides. RNAcentral describes it as "tRNA-Gly". Lineage: Eukaryota; Viridiplantae; Chlorophyta; Ulvophyceae; Bryopsidales; Bryopsidaceae. The record is from RNAcentral.
UGCGUUGUCCGGGAGUCGAACCCGGGUCCCUUGCUUGGAAGGCAAGUAUCCUAACCGUUGGACUAACAACGC